AACGAACGCUGGCGGCAUGCCUAACACAUGCAAGUCGAACGAGACCUUCGGGUCUAUUGGCGCACGGGUGCGUAACGCGGGGUAACCUGCCCUUAGGUUCGGAAUAACUCCCCUAAAGGUAUGCUAAUACCGGAUAAUCUCUUCGGACCAAAGAUUUAUCGCCUUUGGGUGGGCCCGCGUUGGAUUAGCUGGUUGGUAGUGUAAAAGCAUACCAAGGCGUCGAUCCAUAGCUGGUCUGAGAGGAUGGUCAGCCACACUGGGACUGAGACACGGACUAGACUCGUACGGGAGGCAGGGGUGGGGAAUACUGGGGAAUGGGCGAAAGCGUGACCCAGCAAUGCGGGGUGAGUGAUGCAGGCCUUAGGGUUGUAAAGCUCUUUUAGACGGGAUGAUAAUGACAGUACCGGGAGAAUAAGCACCGGCUAACUACGUG
This 433-nucleotide ribosomal RNA is filed under the name uncultured bacterium. RNAcentral's name for it is "partial 16S ribosomal RNA". It matches the Rfam family "Bacterial small subunit ribosomal RNA", at positions 29 to 507 of the family's 1533-position model. The record is from RNAcentral.